UUUCAGAACAGAAGAUCAUAGGGGAGAGCGGGGUAUUGUGAGCCAUUUUUUACAUUUGUUUCCCUAUAGGCAAGGUAAAAUGAUGUAUCAGUAAAAUGUAAACAUUUCCUAUUAAUUUGGGAUGUUUCCUAGCUAUGGAAGUUAUCAGAAAAUCGUCAAGACAAAGGACAAUGAAAAUAUGAUUGUUUUAAAAAAAGUGGUCCUGUGUCUCACUUUACCCCAGAUCAGGGGUAAAGUUAGACAGACCAGAAAAAUCAAUGGGGUAAAUUGAACCAUUUGGGGGUAAGCUGAUACACUUACGUUUUCCACUUUAAUACUACCAUAACACAUGUUGUAACAAUUUGAAUCCUGACUGACAACCUAACCUUCAAAAACAAAAAAAUGUCAGACUAGGAUCAGUGUUACGGAGAUUGGUUAAUUAUAGUUAGCACUUGAAAGUAACCCAAAGUAUUAAAAUGUAAAUCAAAUACAACAUAAUAUACUUCAAAAUGU
Molecule: long non-coding RNA, 492 nt
Organism: Xiphophorus hellerii (green swordtail)
Lineage: Eukaryota; Metazoa; Chordata; Actinopteri; Cyprinodontiformes; Poeciliidae
Exons: 3
Source: RefSeq, a predicted model, not a curated record